UCCCACUCACACUGAUUGAUCUAAACUUCUGCCACAUAAACAUCAAAUACUUGCUGAUUGCUUCUGAAUGUGUCAUGCCACAGAGCAGUUUGACACACUGAAACUGGUUGCACAUGGAUAGGACACGGCAUAAUAAUGUCUGACUUUCGUUAAUCCUAUACUAUGUUAAAAUGUAAUCGAUAUUAACACUAAAACUGUUUUGUGUAAAUAGAUGAACAAUAACUAGCCAAAUUUUAAUUGUGUAAAUUUGUGCCUUAUUUAAUAUGUGUUAAAGGGUGGUGGCGGCAGAGUGGAAGAGAGGACAAGAAAAGGGCAGAGAGGCCCUAAUUUAUCUUUUUAUUUUGAAUAUUUGUAUUUUUUUUAAGCUUGGUUGUCAGUAUAUCAUAACUGUUGUAGAUAUAUAUUUCUAGAUACUUUUGAUAUCCCCAGGCUGUGUGUUGCUUUUGUAUUUGGAACAACAUCUAUAUAGUUUUCUCUCCAAAGCGCAAGUCCUAUCUAUCUGUUUAUCUAUCGUUCUUUCUGUCGCUCUAUGAUCACUGUAUCCUAUCUGUUGCUCUCUGUCGAUCAAUCAUUCUAUCGAUCGGUCUAUCUAUCUCUCAUUCUUACUAUCGCUCUAUCACACUGUCUAUCCUGUCUAUUGUUCUAUGUAUUUCUCUUUUGUUUUCUUUCUCUUUUUGCUUGCUUUCAUGUUGAACUCAGUCCUCACUGACAGGUUUGUUCUGAGAUGUAUGAAGUAAGAUACAUGAACUUCUAAACUGCAGCGUAUCUUCAGAUCUUAUGUUUAAUGGCGACACCAAGACUUCUUAGGCUUUGCACUUUGUUUGGAGGAGAGACUUGUGUGUGUGUGUGUGUGUGUGUGUGUGUGUGUGUGUGUGUGUGUGUGUGUAGACCAUAUCAGUUGGAUGUAGUUCAAACACAUACCUCCCUUUGCUUUUUCCCAGUACUUCAGUCUGGCAGAGUAACUCAGAACAGUUCCUCUGCUCAAAGUCAUCAUCAUCUUCUUCAGUCUGUCUUAUGAUGUGACAGCUUUUGCAUACAUUUUUGGUGCUGGACAGUUUUUAUCAUGUACACUUGAAUUAACCUUUCAAUUCGUCUGCCUGUAACAGUGUGCUCUGUUGCCCCAUGCAAAACCAAAUGCAAUGUCACAUUUUAAUGGACUGCCUCCAACUCAUAUGCAUCACAGGUGGAAAAAGGACUGAGGGUUGAAUCCCUGCACCGUACUCGACGGAAAUCUAGAGCAAGUAAACAGAGUUGGAAGAGACUGGUGUAGUUUCUUUGAAUUUCCAUAGAUAUUAUGAUGGAAAGGGAACUGUGUGUGUCUGAUUUAUCUGCUUUAACCAUUGAGGUUUCUGUUAUUGCACAGUGUAAAUACAAUCCUGGAGUUUCCCAGGAUUCAGUGCUCUGUUGUGAUUACUAUUGGGAUUCUCCACCUCUGCUUUUAUGGAAUACGGUUGUAUUUUCCUUAUUACAGAAAUAAAUGAGAGAUCAUAACAUGCA
Molecule: long non-coding RNA, 1497 nt
Organism: Carassius carassius (crucian carp)
Lineage: Eukaryota; Metazoa; Chordata; Actinopteri; Cypriniformes; Cyprinidae
Exons: 2
Source: RefSeq, a predicted model, not a curated record